CCCUUCGGGGUGUGACUGCGUACCUUUUGUAUAAUGGGUCAGCGACUUAUAUUCUGUAGCAAGGUUAACCGUAUAGGGGAGCCGGAGGGAAACCGAGUCUUAACCGGGCGUUAAGUUGCAGGGUAUAGACCCGAAACCCGGUGAUCUAGCCAUGGGCAGGUUGAAGGUUGGGUAACACUAACUGGAGGACCGAACCGACUAAUGUUGAAAAAUUAGCGGAUGACCUGUGGCUGGGGGUGAAAGGCCAAUCAAACCGGGAGAUAGCUGGUUCUCCCCGAAAGCUAUUUAGGUAGCGCCUCGUGAAUUCAUCUCCGGGGGUAGAGCACUGUUUCGGCUAGGGGGCCAUCCCGGCUUACCAACCCGAUGCAAACUGCGAAUACCGGAGAAUGUUAUCACGGGAGACACACGGCGGGUGCUAACGUCCGUCGUGAAGAGGGAAACAACCCAGACCGCCAGCUAAGGUCCCAAAGUCAUGGUUAAGUGGGAAACGAUGUGGGAAGGCCCAGACAGCCAGGAUGUUGGCUUAGAAGCAGCCAUCAUUUAAAGAAAGCGUAAUAGCUCACUGGUCGAGUCGGCCUGCGCGGAAGAUGUAACGGGGCUAAACCAUGCACCGAAGCUGCGGCAGCGACGCUGAUGCGUUGUUGGGUAGGGGAGCGUUCUGUAAGCCUGCGAAGGUGACCUGUGAGGG
RNAcentral lists this ribosomal RNA (688 nucleotides) under Salmonella enterica subsp. enterica serovar Typhimurium. Its description in RNAcentral is "partial 23S ribosomal RNA". It matches the Rfam family "Bacterial large subunit ribosomal RNA", at positions 582 to 1269 of the family's 2925-position model. Lineage: Bacteria; Pseudomonadati; Pseudomonadota; Gammaproteobacteria; Enterobacterales; Enterobacteriaceae. The record is from RNAcentral.